This 392-nucleotide long non-coding RNA is filed under the name Gallus gallus (chicken). RNAcentral's name for it is "lncRNA (ENSGALG00010012006.1)". The record is from RNAcentral. Lineage: Eukaryota; Metazoa; Chordata; Aves; Galliformes; Phasianidae.
CAAAAUUGCUCAGUGCCUGGAGCAGAACAGAAGGGACAAACUAGCAAAGAGCCUGCUGAGAAUAGAGAAGGGGGAAUCUACAUUGGUGCUGUUGCAUCAAGUGUUCAUCCUGUGUCAGAGAUGCAAAAAGAAGGGUCCUUGUCUCCAAUGAGACAUCUCAAUCACUGCCAAACAGUGCAGCCUUGCUUGGAGGAGCAUGUCCUGGGCACGGACGGCUCCUGCAUCAGUCUCUGGGGAAGUGCAGGCAAAUUAUGAAAUGAAGAAUGCUAUCAUGUGGAUCUUCAGGGAAGAAGUCAAACAGUAACAUUCUUCAGUUAUGUUUGAAUAUUUAAAUGAAGCUUUCAUGUGCACAAGUUGCAGUACUGGUGUUCUGCUGUCUCAUUUGUAAGUGC